CGUACACUCCUGCGGGAGGCAGCAGUGGGGAAUAUUGCACAAUGGGCGCAAGCCUGAUGCAGCCAUGCCGCGUGUAUGAAGAAGGCCUUCGGGUUGUAAAGUACUUUCAGCGGGGAGGAAGGCGAUAAGGUUAAUAACCUUGUUGAUUGACGUUACCCGCAGAAGAAGCACCGGCUAACUCCGUGCCAGCAGCCGCGGUAAUACGGAGGGUGCAAGCGUUAAUCGGAAUUACUGGGCGUAAAGCGCACGCAGGCGGUCUGUCAAGUCGGAUGUGAAAUCCCCGGGCUCAACCUGGGAACUGCAUUCGAAACUGGCAGGCUAGAGUCUUGUAGAGGGGGGUAGAAUUCCAGGUGUAGCGGUGAAAUGCGUAGAGAUCUGGAGGAAUACCGGUGGCGAAGGCGGCCCCCUGGACAAAGACUGACGCUCAGGUGCGAAAGCGUGGGGAGCAAACAGGAUUAGAAACCCCAGUAGUCCCAUGAU
Molecule: ribosomal RNA, 480 nt
Filed under: uncultured organism
Description: partial 16S ribosomal RNA
Rfam family: Bacterial small subunit ribosomal RNA
Source: RNAcentral